UUCCGUAGGUGAACCUGCGGAAGGAUCAUUACAUUCAGUAGCCUAGCUACUUGUUUACACCCUUGUUUUUUGCGUACCUAUUGUUUCCUCGGUGGGCUUGCCUGCCGGUUGGACAAAACCUAUAACCUUUUUAAAUCUUCAAUCAGCGUCUGAAUUAUACAUAAUAAUUACAACUUUCAACAACGGAUCUCUUGGUUCUGGCAUCGAUGAAGAACGCAGCGAAAUGCGAUAAGUAGUGUGAAUUGCAGAAUUCAGUGAAUCAUCGAAUCUUUGAACGCACAUUGCGCCCCUUGGUAUUCCAUGGGGCAUGCCUGUUCGAGCGUCAUUUGUACCUUCAAGCUUUGCUUGGUGUUGGGCGUUUUGUCUUUUCUCUUGUGAUUAGACUCGCCUUAAAGUCAUUGGCAGCCAGUGUUUUUGGUAGUAAGCGCAGCACAUUUUGCGUCUUAGUCCUUAAAUAGCGGCAUCCAUAUAGCUACUUUUUCACUUUUGACCUCGGAUCAGGUAGGGUUCC
This 511-nucleotide small RNA is filed under the name Stagonospora sp. 0911TES27A1. Its description in RNAcentral is "eukaryotic LSU rRNA". The stretch from base 172 to 325 matches the Rfam family "5.8S ribosomal RNA". Lineage: Eukaryota; Fungi; Ascomycota; Dothideomycetes; Pleosporales; Massarinaceae. The record is from RNAcentral.